RNAcentral lists this ribosomal RNA (466 nucleotides) under uncultured bacterium. Its description in RNAcentral is "partial 16S ribosomal RNA". It matches the Rfam family "Bacterial small subunit ribosomal RNA", at positions 28 to 507 of the family's 1533-position model. The record is from RNAcentral.
GACGAACGCUGGCGGCGCGCCUAACACAUGCAAGUCGAACGAGCGAGCGAGAGCUUGCUUUCUCGAGCGAGUGGCGAACGGGUGAGUAACGCGUGAGGAACCUGCCUCAAAGAGGGGGACAACAGUUGGAAACGACUGCUAAUACCGCAUAAGCCCACGACCCGGCAUCGGGUAGAGGGAAAAGGAGAAAUCCGCUUUGAGAUGGCCUCGCGUCCGAUUAGCUAGUUGGUGAGGUAACGGCCCACCAAGGCGACGAUCGGUAGCCGGACUGGGAGGUUGAGCGGCCACAUUGGGACUGAGACACGGCCCAGACUCCUACGGGAGGCAGCAGUGGGGAAUAGUGCACAAUGGGGGAAACCCUGAUGCAGCGACGCCGCGUGGAGGAAGAAGGUCGUCGGAUUGUAAACUCCUGUUGUUGAGGAAGAUAAUGACGGUACUCAACAAGGAAGUGACGGCUAACUACGUG